GUGUGACGUUUGCAGCCCGCCGGCCAGGAAGCCGCGAGAUGCGUGACGAGCGAAGCGCGUGACGGAGGAGCGGUUGGCCAACGCAGUGGCGGCAGUCGGUGUAAACAAGGCCUCGCGCCGCUGCGGGUCCUGCGACCGCUCCUGGCUGAGCACGCUUUGCUUUCACCAAACCCAAGGAGGUGACAGGAGGAGCCCCCGCACAGGACCUAAGAAUGCUGUGACCAGAAGAUGGGAUCGCGGAACAGCAGCAGUGCAGGAUCCGGGUCCGGAGACCCCUCCGAGGGCUUGCCCCGAAGAGGGGCUGGCCUGCGUCGGAGUGAGGAAGAGGAAGAAGAGGAUGAAGAUGUGGAUCUGGCCCAGAGGCCAAGUGAGGUUGGUGCAGGGAGGAGGUGCAGCAAAUUUACAAUUCAUUCAGGCCCUCUUGGACUCAGAGGAAGAGAAUGACAGAGCUUGGGAUGGUCGUCUUGGGGAUCGAUACAACCCACCUGUGGAUGCUACCCCUGACACCCGGGAGCUGGAAUUCAAUGAGAUCAAGACACAAGUGGAACUGGCCACAGGGCAGCUGGGG
This 568-nucleotide unclassified non-coding RNA is filed under the name Homo sapiens (human). RNAcentral describes it as "DDB1 and CUL4 associated factor 11 (ENSG00000284796.3)". Lineage: Eukaryota; Metazoa; Chordata; Mammalia; Primates; Hominidae. The record is from RNAcentral.